This is a long non-coding RNA of Schistocerca gregaria, 2839 nucleotides long. RefSeq lists it as uncharacterized. NCBI's taxonomy places the organism in Eukaryota, Metazoa, Arthropoda, Insecta, Orthoptera, Acrididae. The record is from RefSeq and is a predicted model, not a curated record. The transcript has 7 exons.
GUUGCAUUGUUGCAGUCAAGAUACGCGGAACGUGUGCCUGCAGCUGUUUCUGGGAGACACCUACACAACGAUUCCUUCCCCAGCAUCAUCCAUCUCGCUGUAAUCCAAAAGCAGAUUCGACAGCAGAAUGGCUUCAGAAGCUGAGCGUGGUGGUGGGUUCCGAGUGGCUGGUGAAGAUGUCCCAGUGUGUCAGAGUUGUGUGUCGUCUGGAGCUACUCCGUCCUCCAUCACAUCUGCUCUGGAAGAUGUCAACAGCGUGUAUUCCCAGUCAGUUUCUGAUGUGCCUGAGAGUACACCGUGUGCUGCAGACACCUCGCGUGUGAGUGUCAGUGACUUGCCAGAUGAGAUACUGAUAAAGAUCUUCUCUCACAUGUCUUUCAGUGAGCUAACAGAUGUGGUACAGGAGAUGUGCUCUUGUUGGAGAAGGCUGUCUCAAGAUUUCGAGUUGUAGCAUGACAAGGAAUACCAUGUCAGGUACUGGACUUGUUUCGACGUGGACACCAGUAAAGGUGGCACAACUGACGAGGAGGCGAUAAAGAUUUUCUGCGAUGCCCCGAACCUGCGUACUGUGUGCAUGUGGAGAAGUGCCAGGUCACGUGUCUUCCGUGCGCUCUACAGCAAAUGCCAGAGACUCUCCGAGCUGCAACUGCAUGUCAGUCAGAAGCUCAGCUACUCGGUGUGUCCUCCCUUUGCUGGCGGACUGUGCUGACACCUUGGAACGUCUGCAGUUUUACGAAUUCGAAUUAGUAGAUGAUGAGACGAGGGAGGCAUUUACUGCCCUAGGCAACCUGAGGAGCCUGCAGGAGCUUAAGAUGAUGAUCCUCGAUCCUCUACCGCCUGGUACAGGUGCUCUGGUGUUUAAGGCUGGUGGGCUGACAAAACUCAGACUGCUGGAUCUAUGAGGUGGGUAUGGACUCGACGACGAUACGUUAAUUGCCGUCAGCUGCGGAUGCCCUGCUUUGCAGGAAGUUAAUGUCAGAGAAGCAGAGUUGCUGUCUGAUACUGCAUUCUCUCAGAUCUACCAUCUGGAACAUCUUGAAAUACUGGACGUGUCAUGGUGCAAGGGUCUCGGCGGAGCUCUGUUCCCCUGCCUCGCCAGGCUACCGUGACUUCACACCUUGUUCGCAGAAGAACUGGAGUUUCCCGUGAUACAACCUGGUCUGAGCAGUAUACUCGCAUUGUCCAGUGUGUGCUGCCUGACAUUCAACUAUUCAGUUGUUACUGGAGUGCCAUUUCAUAAGUUUCCAGGAAAGCUGGUCAGUCUCAGGGAGCUGAAAAUCCGAGGCUGUAGAGGUGACCCUAAAGCCACAGAUGGACUGUCUGAGCAGAUGCCUGAUCUCAAAAUCUAUGGCAGCAUUGAAGCAGAGGAUCCAGCUUUCAACACAGAAGAUCACCAGAAUGAUGUAGACCGUGAAGGGGAAGAGAAUGUGCAGCUCGGUGGAGCAGAUGAAAUACGUGACGACCGUUCCGAUAGUGGCAAAGACAGUGACGUUGACAGUAGCAGUAGCAGUGAUAAUGAGAGUGAUAGUAUUAUUUGGGAUGAAAGUAGUAUACCUUCUCUCUUUUUGCAGGAUGUUUGAUGAAAUAACCUACAAACACUUACAUUAAAAAAAGAAAAAAAUACAUACCACAUGUGAUUACACCAGAUCAACCAUAAAUGGACAACUAAUAAUGCAGUAGCAAUGAAGACAAUAGCUUAGUUGUAUUAAAGCAAAAUGACUAUAAAAUUAGAUAUCAUCUUUAAAGAUAAUAACAUCACACAAAUAAACUGGGAUAAACAGCACAAGGGGGGGGGGGAGGGGGGGGGGGACCAUGUCAAACAUUGCAACACAAUCCUAACACUCGAUGAAGAUAGACCAUGCAUAGUGAUAAACUGCAGAAAACCUAGACUACAUGAACAAUCAAAAAUCCAUGAGUCAUUAGCUGUGAUCAGCCCAGUGGUAGAUAGCAUAGAUAGCCCUACAUAACUUACCAGUAAAAAAAUUAAACAUUCUUCUAUCAGAAUUCUAUAUAUACACUAAAAAAUAUACAGUAAGAAAACCAAGGUCAUUAGCACAAAAAAUAAGACAUAAAAAUACAAACAAAUGGGAAAUUCAUAUUGUUUACUACUACCCUGUACAUAUCCAUACUAAUAUUCCGAAUUCUGAAAUGAUCACCAUAAAUGAAAGUAACCUGCUCCAGUACAGAAAAGCUUCAAUAAUAGAUACUAACGAAAUUAUACUGAUACUAAAAUUAGUACAGCAAAACUACUUUCAGUUCAAAAACAAAAUUUAUACACAGACAGGUGCAAUUGCCAUGGAAUGCAGCAUAGCUGGAACAAUAGUGGAUUUAUUCUUAAACAUACUAGUAGAAAAAAUUUCCAGCAACACAGACACAAACACAAACACAUUAAUUAUAAAAAUUUUAUAUUAUUAUAGGUACAUCAAUGAUACACUAAUGCUAGUCGAUGGAGACAGUACAGACACCCAGCAGAUACACAAGGCACUGAAUGCACUGCAUCCUAAAAUGGAAAUUUUCAAUAGAACCAGAAAACAAUAAAGCAAAACAUUUCCUCGACCUAACCCUGAUAUAAUACAGACAUAUUUGAAAUUUACUGUGAGCCCACUACAAUAGAAAAUGAUAUUAAUGAAGAUCCACACUGCCCAAAUGCCUACACUUUUAUGCCGUGAUUAACAGUAUAAUAAACUUAUCACUUAAAAAAGACGCCAUACAAAAGGAGAUUAAAAUCUUACAAUAUAUGGCACAACAAAAUUAUUACAGUCCAUAAGUAGUCACUCAACCAUACGAUAAACACACCAAACCAGCACAGCCUGUAAUACAAAAAGAAGAUGGCCGCCGA